Molecule: long non-coding RNA, 521 nt
Filed under: Homo sapiens (human)
Lineage: Eukaryota; Metazoa; Chordata; Mammalia; Primates; Hominidae
Description: HSALNT0077279
Source: RNAcentral
AGAGUAGAAGUAAUUCUAUCAGGCACUUUUGAAGUGGCCUCCGAUGCGAAGGUGAGAUCAGAAAUACGCCUGUGGAACCCUCUACAUGCGGAUCUGGCAAGCAUUCAACACAAACGCAAUUAGAGGGCUUACCCUUGCAUGAAAUAUUUGCUUUCCUGAUAGUCACUAACUUUAAACUUUAGGAAUGCCAGGGCAUAGUGUUUCUGUAUCAGAACUAGAAUCCUCUACUUCACUUUCUUCAGCUAUUAUUUUUGAAGUUUGCAUAUCGUAUUAAAGUCCCACCAAACAAUAAAUAGGAAAGCAUGAUUUUAUUAAAAUCCUCUUGAGACAACCGCAUCUGCCCUGGCUAUUCUUUGAUCAGGGUCUGAGAGGUUGCAGCAUGCACACUCACCCAGAGGUACUUGAGAGCAUUGUUCACGUAUUCAAUGAAUAUUGAAUGCUAGAGUGAAUCUACACUGGGCUUAGAUCAGCAUAAAUCUCCACAACUCACCUUCAAUGGUGGACACAGGCAACUAACCAGG